RNAcentral lists this ribosomal RNA (433 nucleotides) under uncultured bacterium. RNAcentral's name for it is "partial 16S ribosomal RNA". It matches the Rfam family "Bacterial small subunit ribosomal RNA", at positions 29 to 507 of the family's 1533-position model. The record is from RNAcentral.
AACGAACGCUGGCGGCAGGCCUAACACAUGCAAGUCGAGCGAGGACUUCGGUUCUAGCGGCGGACGGGUGAGUAACGCGUGGGAAUGUGCCCUUCUCUACGGAAUAGCCCUGGGAAACUGGGAGUAAUACCGUAUACGCCCCAUUGGUGAAAGAUUGAUCGAAGAAGGAUCAGCCCGCGUUGGAUUAGGUAGUUGGUGGUGUAAUGGCCUACCAAGCCGACGAUCCAUAGCUGGUUUGAGAGGAUGAUCAGCCACACUGGGACUGAGACACGGCCCAGACUCCUACGGGAGGCAGCAGUGGGGAAUCUUAGACAAUGGGGGCAACGCUGAUCUAGCCAUGCCGCGUGAGUGAUGAAGGCCUUAGGGUUGUAAAGCUCUUUCAGCUGGGAAGAUAAUGACGGUACCAGCAGAAGAAGCCCCGGCUAACUCCGUG